CAGGAUGAACGCUAGCACAGGCUUAACACAUGCAAGUCGAGGGGUAGCAGGAUCUAGCAAUAGAUUGCUGACGACCGGCGCACGGGUGAGUAACACGUAUCCAACCUUCCGUUUACUCGGGGAUAGCCUUUCGAAGAAAGAUUAAUACCCGAUAGUAUGCUUUUCCCGCAUGGGAGAAUCAUUAAAGUUUUUCGGUAAUCGAUGGGGACGCGUUCCAUUAGGCAGUUGGUGAGGUAACGGCUCACCAAACCUUCGAUGGAUAGGGGUUCUGAGAGGAAGGUCCCCCCACAUUGGAACUGAGACGCGGUCCAAACUCCUACGGGAGGCAGCAGUGAGGAAUAUUGGUCAAUGGACGAGAGUCUGAACCAGCCAAGUAGCGUUAGAAGGAUGACUGCCCUAUGGGUUGUAAACUUCUUUUAUAUGGGAAUAAAGGAGCCUACGUGUAGGUUUUUGUAUGUACCAUACGAAUAAGGAUCGGCUAACUCCGUGCCAGCAGCCGC
RNAcentral lists this ribosomal RNA (500 nucleotides) under uncultured bacterium. RNAcentral describes it as "bacterial SSU rRNA". It matches the Rfam family "Bacterial small subunit ribosomal RNA", at positions 25 to 518 of the family's 1533-position model. The record is from RNAcentral.